This 637-nucleotide ribosomal RNA is filed under the name Vibrio brasiliensis. RNAcentral's name for it is "bacterial SSU rRNA". It matches the Rfam family "Bacterial small subunit ribosomal RNA", at positions 118 to 751 of the family's 1533-position model. The record is from RNAcentral. Lineage: Bacteria; Pseudomonadati; Pseudomonadota; Gammaproteobacteria; Vibrionales; Vibrionaceae.
UGGGAAAUUGCCCUGAUGUGGGGGAUAACCAUUGGAAACGAUGGCUAAUACCGCAUAAUAGCUUCGGCUCAAAGAGGGGGACCUUCGGGCCUCUCGCGUCAGGAUAUGCCCAGGUGGGAUUAGCUAGUUGGUGAGGUAAUGGCUCACCAAGGCGACGAUCCCUAGCUGGUCUGAGAGGAUGAUCAGCCACACUGGAACUGAGACACGGUCCAGACUCCUACGGGAGGCAGCAGUGGGGAAUAUUGCACAAUGGGCGCAAGCCUGAUGCAGCCAUGCCGCGUGUAUGAAGAAGGCCUUCGGGUUGUAAAGUACUUUCAGCAGUGAGGAAGGCGGAGUCGUUAAUAGCGGCCUCGUUUGACGUUAGCUGCAGAAGAAGCACCGGCUAACUCCGUGCCAGCAGCCGCGGUAAUACGGAGGGUGCGAGCGUUAAUCGGAAUUACUGGGCGUAAAGCGCAUGCAGGUGGUUUGUUAAGUCAGAUGUGAAAGCCCGGGGCUCAACCUCGGAAUUGCAUUUGAAACUGGCAGACUAGAGUACUGUAGAGGGGGGUAGAAUUUCAGGUGUAGCGGUGAAAUGCGUAGAGAUCUGAAGGAAUACCGGUGGCGAAGGCGGCCCCCUGGACAGAUACUGACACUCAGA